This is a long non-coding RNA of Plodia interpunctella (Indianmeal moth), 1673 nucleotides long. RefSeq lists it as uncharacterized. NCBI's taxonomy places the organism in Eukaryota, Metazoa, Arthropoda, Insecta, Lepidoptera, Pyralidae. The record is from RefSeq and is a predicted model, not a curated record. The transcript has 2 exons.
CGUUGAUGCCAUGGAAUAGGGAAUAUUACUGCACAUUUAUCCCGCCAGAAAAAUCGUUUUCUAUAAGAUAAAUAAAACUUCGAAAACUAUGGGAUACGCCUCACGCUGUAAAAUUUUCGAGCGAGUAAACAAUCGAAAAGAAACUCGGAACACUUUACACGUGAAGACUUAUUAAAAUAUGGACUUUAUACAGGAUAAUCCACUAACUCCUUCCUUUUUCCUUUAUACUCGCACCACGAUUACGUAGAAGGUAUUUUUGGUCGUAAAUGGUGGUGAACGUUUUCCCAGGUGUCUUAGCUAAGUGAUGUAGUAAGGUAAACUUAGUCAAUCUAUAAUAAAUCACACUCAGAUUUUUUUAUAAAUUAAGGAAGAUAAUAACAUAUUCAGAUUGUAUCUCACCCUCCACGAGAAAUUUAUAAUGGUUUUUAUCGAAGGAUGCCGGAACGGGCUUGCUAGAGUGUUAUUUCUAUCCGCCACAGGCGCGGAGGGGCUGCCGCCCGAGCUGAUGAGUCGUAGACAGCCUAUUUGUAUAAUAAAACUAUGCAGUGCGGAUGCACCGUCUAUACAAAAUAGGAAUAUAAAUAAAUGAAAUAAAAGUGUAUUUGUUUAGAAUUUAAUUAAGUAUAAUUAAAAAUAUUUUCGUUCAUUUUGUAGUAACCUAAAUAUACUUAUAACUUGAAGUAGGUGUUUAAUUUAUCAAAGCAGUUUUAACGACAUAUUAAUCAAUGCUCCAAGCAUUAAGCAAUUCUAAAUCUAGUUACAUGAUAGUACUAAAACUAUUGAAAUUAUCCGUGUUUUUUUCUGUACAUGUAGGUGAUGUUGAGGACAACCGUCGUACAAACGCAUUAUUCUGCUGAUCUUGGCCUCAUCUUGCCUCCUCACAAUUAUUGGAAUAAUAUUAAGUACUGAGUAUUAUUUACAUGUGUUUACAGUCUUUAUAUAAUUUAUUUUAAGAGAUCACUUCUUAGUGUUGAAACCUUCUCCUGUAGGAUCUAAUAUCCAUGGAUAAUGCGCAGGACAUUCCAUGCAAGUAAACAGACGUAAUGUUUCACCCGGUAAUUCUCGGGUGGUUAAUGGACAAGCAUUUGGCAAGGAACAGAAAGGUUGCCCUUUGACAUCACAUUUUUCUUGUUUCCAUUCUUGGAAAUCUCUUAGAGAUGAUAGUUCAGUUGGAUUUUGCAUCCAUUGAAUAACUUGAAUUAAUGAAGUGAAGUAUACAUCGUUCUUCUCCAGCAUUUCUUCAAUGAAUUUGAUCAGUUCAUCCCUGAAUUCCUUCUUGGAUUUAAGCCAUGAAGCAUGGAAAUGGAGACCAAGCGGGGCACGGUUGGUUGUGUAGUGGCGGUUGAAGUUGUGGCGAAGAAGACGACCGAACUGUUCUCCUGUUUGGAUGUUGGAACAUGAGUCUACUACGUGACAACCUGGUAGGGAUUCAUCGAAUGUGGGGUCAUCUCUUCUGUCUAAUUCGUUCAUUACCAUCUCCCAAACAGGAUGACUUCUAGAUGGGCAGUUAUGGGCAUUUCCGUUACAUUUGUGUGGCAUACGGAAGUAAAGAGUGUAAGGCCAAAUUGGUACACGGCUGAGGGGUGCAGUAAUAGACGCAUCAUAAACAAAGUAUUGGUCCGCCAUCAUUUCAAAUUGUUUGUUUCCACCAACCCGGAGAUAGGGAGCGCGGA